RNAcentral lists this ribosomal RNA (468 nucleotides) under uncultured bacterium. RNAcentral describes it as "partial 16S ribosomal RNA". It matches the Rfam family "Bacterial small subunit ribosomal RNA", at positions 28 to 507 of the family's 1533-position model. The record is from RNAcentral.
GACGAACGCUGGCGGCGUGCUUAACACAUGCAAGUCGAACGGAAAGGCCCAGCUUUGGUUGGGUGCUCGAGUGGCGAACGGGUGAGUAACACGUGAGUAACCUGCCCUUGACUUCGGGAUAACCCCAGGAAACUGGGUCUAAUACCGGAUAGGAGCUCCUGCUGCAUGGUGGGGUUGGGAAAGUUUCGGCGGUUGGGGAUGUACUCGCGGCUUAUCAGCUUGUUGGUGGGGUAGUGGCUUACCAAGGCGUUGACGGGUAGCCGGCCUGAGAGGGUGACCGGCCACAUUGGGACUGAGAUACGGCCCAGACUCCUACGGGAGGCAGCAGUGGGGAAUAUUGCACAAUGGGCGGAAGCCUGAUGCAGCAACGCCGCGUGGGGGAUGACGGCCUUCGGGUUGUAAACCGCUUUCGCCUGUGACGAAGCGUGAGUGACGGUAAUGGGUAAAGAAGCACCGGCUAACUACGUG